UACGUAGGUCCCGAGCGUUGUCCGGAUUUAUUGGGCGUAAAGCGAGCGCAGGUGGUUUAUUAAGUCUGGUGUAAAAGGCAGUGGCUCAACCAUUGUAUGCAUUGGAAACUGGUAGACUUGAGUGCAGGAGAGGAGAGUGGAAUUCCAUGUGUAGCAGUGAAAUGCGUAGAUAUAUGGAGGAACACCGGUGGCGAAAGCGGCUCUCUGGACUGUAACUGACACUGAGGCACGAAAGCGUGGGGAGCAAACAGG
This 252-nucleotide ribosomal RNA is filed under the name uncultured bacterium. RNAcentral describes it as "partial 16S ribosomal RNA". It matches the Rfam family "Bacterial small subunit ribosomal RNA", at positions 524 to 776 of the family's 1533-position model. The record is from RNAcentral.